Molecule: ribosomal RNA, 755 nt
Filed under: uncultured bacterium
Lineage: Bacteria
Description: bacterial SSU rRNA
Rfam family: Bacterial small subunit ribosomal RNA
Source: RNAcentral
GGUGAGUAACGCGUGGAGAACCUGCCGUAUACUGGGGGAUAACACUUAGAAAUAGGUGCUAAUACCGCAUAAGCGCACAGCUUCGCAUGAAGCAGUGUGAAAAACUCCGGUGGUAUACGAUGGAUCCGCGUCUGAUUAGCUUGUUGGCGGGGUAAAGGCCCACCAAGGCGACGAUCAGUAGCCGGCCUGAGAGGGUGAACGGCCACAUUGGGACUGAGACACGGCCCAAACUCCUACGGGAGGCAGCAGUGGGGAAUAUUGCACAAUGGGGGAAACCCUGAUGCAGCGACGCCGCGUGAGUGAAGAAGUAUUUCGGUACGUAAAGCUCUAUCAGCAGGGAAGAAAAUGACGGUACCUGACUAAGAAGCCCCGGCUAACUACGUGCCAGCAGCCGCGGUAAUACGUAGGGGGCAAGCGUUAUCCGGAUUUACUGGGUGUAAAGGGAGCGUAGACGGCAGCGCAAGUCUGGAGUGAAAUCCCAUGGCUUAACCAUGGAACUGCUUUGGAAACUGUGCAGCUAGAGUGCAGGAGAGGUAAGCGGAAUUCCUAGUGUAGCGGUGAAAUGCGUAGAUAUUAGGAGGAACACCAGUGGCGAAGGCGGCUUACUGGACUGUAACUGACGUUGAGGCUCGAAAGCGUGGGGAGCAAACAGGAUUAGAUACCCUGGUAGUCCACGCUGUAAACGAUGAUUACUAGGUGUUGGGGGACCAAGGUCCUUCGGUGCCGUCGCAAACGCAUUAAGUAAUCCACCUGGG